Long non-coding RNA from Cannabis sativa, 1380 nucleotides. RefSeq lists it as uncharacterized. The transcript is spliced from 8 exons. The record is from RefSeq and is a predicted model, not a curated record. NCBI's taxonomy places the organism in Eukaryota, Viridiplantae, Streptophyta, Magnoliopsida, Rosales, Cannabaceae.
AGUAGUUAAGUAUUAUCGCAUCAGUUCCAAAAGCUUGCGGCCAAAAAAAUUGAUUGAAUGAAGCCAAAAUAGAACGAAAGAACUCCAAGACCACUGCUUUAGGACGGAGAUCGGCGGAAUCUGGGCAUUUUGAAAGGAACCGAGCCACAGCAAGGACGACAUUGAGCUGAGGGCGCAAAACCUUAGGAGAUCCAGCGACGAGAGCCUCGGGCACUCAGACACUCACCUCACCGGCUCACUCAUUCUUCAGCCGAUACUCAGAAGAAAUUGCAAUGAUUUUUGAACGAGUUUAGGUCACUAUCUAUGUGGGCAAAGGGUAAAAGCUUUGUCAUUAAAUAUGAAGGUUCAGUCAAGAAUGGAGAUUCUGAUUGCUUUGUCUUAGAGCAUGUUGAACAUGAUAGGCCUGAGGUGUUGAAGAGUGAAAUAAGCAUUUGUCAGCUUCAGUAAUAUGGCUAUUGUAUGUUCAGAGCACUAUCAAGUCUUCAUAAAUAGGGUGUAAUCCACAGGGAUGUCAAACCUGGAAACUUCCUCUUCUCUCGUAAGGCCAGUAAAGGUUACCUGAUUGAUUUCAACCUGGCAAUGGACUUACAUCAUAAAUAUGGAAACACUGGCAAAUCAAGGGUAGGAUGUAGUGCUCGCACUGAUCAAGUCAAACUUCCUAGCACAAGUUCUACUCAAACCAAAGAUAGGAAGUUGCCAAAUACUAAAUCUUCAGAAACAGCUCGCCUCAAGACAACAAAUGAUUACAAGUCAACUUUAGAUAUGAAGAACAUUAGAAGAAAGGCUUUGAUUUCUAAAACUCGUAAUAAUGAUUUGGGUGGCUGGAAUGUUAGCAAAAGUCAAGGUGCAGAUGGCUCUGGCAUUACUUUAGCUGACAGAUUGAGGGAACCUUUGCCAUGCUAAGGUAGGAAGGAGCUCAUCAACCUGGCUCAGGAAGCAAGGCAAAAUCUAAAUCAUGAGUCAUCAGCUGUAUUAUCUCCCAUGAGAAAAAGAAUCACUGCUUCUCCUCAAAAUGUGGAUAAAACACUUGUUUAUCUUACUCCAAUGCCCCUGGUUUCAACAGGACCUGGUGCUGGGAGUUCUCAAUUGAUGAACAGAGGGAAUCGGAAAUUCAAGAAAGAAGGUCAUUGUGUUGGAACCAAAGGCUUCCGGGCUCCCGAGGUUUUGUUGAGAUUUCCAUUACAAUAUAAAGGCAUUACACUAAACUAAACAUGCUCGUUUGGAACGGUAGUGUACACUUUUAUUGCUUAAAAAUGUUGGUUUAGAAACAUGGCUAUUAUGUCCUUGGAUGAGGAUAUAUUAUUUAUUUUUAACUUGUCAUUUCUUUUAUAAAUAAUUUAAAAUGAAAUUAAGUAUACGUGCCUUGCACAUUUUUUUUAA